CCUACGGGUGGCUGCAGUGAGGAAUAUUGGUCAAUGGGCGCGAGCCUGAACCAGCCAAGUAGCGUGAAGGAUGACUGCCCUACGGGUUGUAAACUUCUUUUAUAAAGGAAUAAAGUGAGGCUCGUGUGCCUGUUUGUAUGUACUUUAUGAAUAAGGAUCGGCUAACUCCGUGCCAGCAGCCGCGGUAAUACGGAGGAUCCGGGCGUUAUCCGGAUUUAUUGGGUUUAAAGGGUGCGUAGAUGGGUUGUUAAGUCAGUUGUGAAAGUUUGGGGCUCAACCGUAGAAGUGCAAUUGAUACUGGCAGCCUUGAGUACAGAUGGGGUAGGCGGAAUGCGUGGUGUAGCGGUGAAAUGCUUAGAUAUCACGAAGAACUCCGAUUGCGAAGGCAGCCUACU
Molecule: ribosomal RNA, 395 nt
Filed under: uncultured bacterium
Lineage: Bacteria
Description: partial 16S ribosomal RNA
Rfam family: Bacterial small subunit ribosomal RNA
Source: RNAcentral